GGCACUAUAGCUUAGCGGUUAGAGCAUUGAAGGCCCUAUCAGAAGGUCACUGGUUUGAUUCUAGCUAGUGUCA
Molecule: transfer RNA, 73 nt
Organism: Fomitopsis pinicola
Lineage: Eukaryota; Fungi; Basidiomycota; Agaricomycetes; Polyporales; Fomitopsidaceae
Rfam family: tRNA
About the family: Transfer RNA (tRNA) molecules are approximately 80 nucleotides in length.
Source: Rfam